RNAcentral lists this ribosomal RNA (393 nucleotides) under uncultured bacterium. Its description in RNAcentral is "partial 16S ribosomal RNA". It matches the Rfam family "Bacterial small subunit ribosomal RNA", at positions 523 to 918 of the family's 1533-position model. The record is from RNAcentral.
AUACGGAGGACGCGAGCGUUAUCCGGAUUCAUUGGGUUUAAAGGGUGCGCAGGCGGCCGUGCAAGUCAGCGGUGAAAGCCCGGGGCUCAACCCCGGAAGUGCCGUUGAUACUGCAUGGCUGGAAUGCGGUCGAGGCGGGCGGAACGUGGGGGGUAGGGGGGAAAUGCGUAGAUAUGCCACAGAACGCCGAUAGCGGAGGCAGCUCGCCAGGCCUGCAUUGACGCUGGGGCACGAAAGCGUGGGGAGCGAACAGGAUUAGAUACCCUGGUAGUCCACGCCGUAAACGAUGGGCGCUCGUCGUCGGCGACAGACAGUCGGCGGCCAAGCGAAAGCGAUAAGCGCCCCACCUGGGGAGUACGGUCGCAAGGCUGAAACUCAAAUGAAUUGGCGGGG